GAUGAACGCUGGCGGCGUGCCUAAUACAUGCAAGUCGAGCGGUAAGGCCUCUUCGGAGGUACACGAGCGGCGGACGGCUGAGUAACGCGUAGGAACGUACCCCAAAGUGAGGGACAAGCACCAGAAAUGGUGUCUAAUACCGCAUGUGAUCCAAGGAUUAAAGCUUUAUGCGCUUUGGGAACGGCCUGCGUUUGAUUAGCUAGUUGGUGAGGUAAAAGCUCACCAAGGCGACGAUCAAUAGCUGGUCUGAGAGGAUGAUCAGCCAGACUGGGACUGAGACACGGCCCAGACUCCUACGGGAGGCAGCAGUAGGGAAUUUUCCACAAUGGGCGAAAGCCUGAUGGAGCAACGCCGCGUGCAGGAUGAAGGCCUUAGGGUUGUAAAC
RNAcentral lists this ribosomal RNA (385 nucleotides) under uncultured bacterium. RNAcentral's name for it is "bacterial SSU rRNA". It matches the Rfam family "Bacterial small subunit ribosomal RNA", at positions 28 to 430 of the family's 1533-position model. The record is from RNAcentral.